Molecule: ribosomal RNA, 386 nt
Filed under: uncultured organism
Description: bacterial SSU rRNA
Rfam family: Bacterial small subunit ribosomal RNA
Source: RNAcentral
UGCCUUACACAUGCAAGUCGAACGGCAGCACGGGCUUCGGUCUGGUGGCGAGUGGCGAACGGGUGAGUAAAGUAUCGGAACGUACCAUUGAGUGGGGGAUAACGUAGCGAAAGUUACGCUAAUACCGCAUAUACCCCGAGGGGGAAAGCAGGGGAUCGCAAGACCUUGUGCUCUUUGAGCGGCCGAUAUCAGAUUAGCUAGUUGGUGAGGUAAAGGCUCACCAAGGCGACGAUCUGUAGCGGGUCUGAGAGGAUGAUCCGCCACACUGGGACUGAGACACGGCCCAGACUCCUACGGGAGGCAGCAGUGGGGAAUUUUGGACAAUGGGGGCAACCCUGAUCCAGCCAUGCCGCGUGAGUGAAGAAGGCCUUCGGGUUGUAAAGCUC